GGAGUUAGCCGGUGCUUCUUCUGUGAGUGAUGUCCUUCCUGCCGGCUAUUAACCCGCAGGCCUUCUUCCUCACUGAAAGUGCUUUACAACCCGAAGGCCUUCUUCACACACGCGGCAUGGCUGGAUCAGGGUUGCCCCCAUUGUCCAAUAUUCCCCACUGCUGCCUCCCGUAGGAGUCUGGGCCGUGUCUCAGUCCCAGUGUGGCUGAUCAUCCUCUCAGACCAGCUACGGAUCGUCGCCUUGGUGAGCCGUUACCUCACCAACCAGCUAAUCCGACAUAGGCUCAUCCGAUAGCGCGAGGCCCGAAGGUCCCCCGCUUUCCCCCGUAGGGCGUAUGCGGUAUUAGCCUGGGUUUCCCCAGGUUAUCCCCCACUACCGGGCAGAUUCCUAUGCAUUACUCACCCGUCCGCCGCUCGCCACCAGGGAGCAAGCUCCCCGUGCUGCCGCUCGACUUGCNUGUGUAGCNCGCCGCAGCGUCAUCUGAGCGAGAUACAACUCUGA
Molecule: ribosomal RNA, 501 nt
Filed under: uncultured bacterium
Lineage: Bacteria
Description: partial 16S ribosomal RNA
Source: RNAcentral